GGCAGCGGUCGUCUAACUGGAAAGACGCUCGAUAGCUAAUCGAGGGAUAGAAGUUCGACUCUUCUUCGCUGCCG
Molecule: transfer RNA, 74 nt
Filed under: Stieleria varia
Lineage: Bacteria; Pseudomonadati; Planctomycetota; Planctomycetia; Pirellulales; Pirellulaceae
Description: Planctomycetes bacterium Pla52n tRNA-Ser
Rfam family: tRNA
About the family: Transfer RNA (tRNA) molecules are approximately 80 nucleotides in length. Their secondary structure includes four short double-helical elements and three loops (D, anti-codon, and T loops). Further hydrogen bonds mediate the characteristic L-shaped molecular structure. tRNAs have two regions of fundamental functional importance: the anti-codon, which is responsible for specific mRNA codon recognition, and the 3' end, to which the tRNAs corresponding amino acid is attached (by aminoacyl-tRNA synthetases). tRNAs cope with the degeneracy of the genetic code in two manners: having more than one tRNA (with a specific anti-codon) for a particular amino acid; and 'wobble' base-pairing, i.e. permitting non-standard base-pairing at the 3rd anti-codon position.
Source: RNAcentral